UGCAUGUAGUUUAGAGAUUGGCUCCAGAGACAGGAUCUACCUAGACUGGGAAGCAAAGCCUAAGCCUUUGCUUUGUAUUCAGAGGAGUGGUGCUUGAGCUCUAAUCUCAUACUCCCCAAGAGUUUUAUAAUGUGGGAUUUUUUGAAUUUUCUGCUUAAGGCAUCAAGGAUAUGGUGUCAGACAGUCUUUCUGAAGGGAAAAAAAGGAAAGGUUGUUUUCUGUUUCUUUUUCCCAGAGGCCAUUAGUGUUGUAUGUUUUUGUUCUGGACUUGCCUUCUAGUUCUCUGCAAAUGUAUCUCCCCAUCUUUUCUCUGCUUCCUGGCUAGAGGAAACAUGCGAGGUGGAUCCGACAAGCAGUGCUUUUUUCUGGCUCUGUGGGUUCCUGUUUCAUGCCAAUGACACUUGGUGGAGCCUGGCUGCCAGACCAAAUGGUUUGUAGCUGCCCUGCUGACAGUGUUGCCAGCAUCGCUGCCUGUAGGAGUGCGCUCCCAGCACAGCCUCUCCAUGCCCUGCUGCCCAGUCAAAUGUGGAGCUCUGCCUUUUGAGUAGCAGAAUUAGAAAAGGAGUGGACUGAGGUGCUUUGACAAGAUAGGAUCAGAAUUGCUAAGUGGAUCAUGGGACAAAUAUUGCAAAAAGAAAAGCUGCACAGCCUGGAGUUUGACAUUGUGUCCUCUGCUCUGUCAAAUGCCCUUCACCCUGCCUGUACCGUUUUUAACCCAUGGAAACUGGAUGUUUGGGAGUCACAAUGAAUAAUGUCUGUUCUGUAUUUACCAAGCACUUCUGGCUGUUGUAAGGUCCAGCAGUGUUAAAAGGUAGGUGCUGGUUCUGGGGGCAGAACUCAUGAGUUUGAUUUGGGAAUGAAAUAGGACAUAUGCUCUUAUGGAACAAGUAAAUCACAGUAUUAGGCACUCCAGCAUGCUGAAUUCAGUGAUACCUUCACUGAAAUAUUAAGAGGAGGAGCAUGUUUGCCACUUUUGCCUCCUAUGUAGCUUACAAAAAUGGAAGAAUAAGUAAAUAAAACAACUUCUUACCCUUAGAGUCUCCUAUAUAGCCCAAGUUCAAUGCACUUACAGAAGCAGUAGGAAACUGGGGUUUCUGUGCUUUCCAUGGAAAAAAAAUACUAUGCUGAGAAAGUCUCCAGAGUUAAGCUUAAUUUGUAGAACAUCUGUAAUGUCAUCUAGCUUCAGGGAGGUUUCUAAAACCACAAGUAGCAGUAAGUGCCUGGGCCAGACAGCAGGCUCAGAGCAAAAGGUCUCUGAUUCUGCUCACUCACAUGCUGCAGCUCCUGGUGCAGGGAGUCCCCAAUCCAAUGGUAAUAAUUUCCAUUUAAUAGUCCUUAACUUUUCUUCUCUACAUCUAAUUACAUUUUGACUCUAUUUAGAAUUCCGGUCUUCACAGCCUCCUGCAACACAUGGUUCUAUAACUUAAGUAAGCUCAGUUUUACACCUGUAGUUAUAGAAUCACAGAAUGGUUUGAGUUGAAAGGGACCUUAGAGAUCACCUCAUUCCAACCCUCUGCCAUGGGCAGUUUGAUAAUUAUUUUUUAUAUCCCUUUGUUCUGACAUUAUGAGGAUCUGACUAAUAUUUCUUCUUCAUCUACUAAUUAUUUUAUAGCAUGUCUACCAUACUCCCACCUGUGAUUCUUUCUUUUACCACCUCAAAACUCCUCAUAAUGCCAUACCUUUGAUCAAAUUUCCCACAUUUUUUUCUCUAUUUAUGUUGCAUCUCUUUUGAAACAGGAGACCAGAACUCCAUAUAGGAAUCAAGACACAGAGUUGUCCUUAAUAAACACAGUAACAUUUA
Molecule: long non-coding RNA, 1801 nt
Organism: Vidua macroura (Pin-tailed whydah)
Lineage: Eukaryota; Metazoa; Chordata; Aves; Passeriformes; Viduidae
Exons: 3
Source: RefSeq, a predicted model, not a curated record